This 465-nucleotide ribosomal RNA is filed under the name uncultured Klebsiella sp. RNAcentral describes it as "bacterial SSU rRNA". It matches the Rfam family "Bacterial small subunit ribosomal RNA", at positions 338 to 795 of the family's 1533-position model. The record is from RNAcentral. Lineage: Bacteria; Pseudomonadati; Pseudomonadota; Gammaproteobacteria; Enterobacterales; Enterobacteriaceae.
CCUACGGGAGGCAGCAGUGGGGAAUAUUGCACAAUGGGCGCAAACCUGAUGCAGCCAUGCCGCGUGUGUGAAGAAGGCCUUCGGGUUGUAAAGCACUUUCAGCGGGGAGGAAGGCGUUAAGGUUAAUAACCUUGGCGAUUGACGUUACCCGCAGAAGAAGCACCGGCUAACUCCGUGCCAGCAGCCGCGGUAAUACGGAGGGUGCAAGCGUUAAUCGGAAUUACUGGGCGUAAAGCGCACGCAGGCGGUCUGUCAAGUCGGAUGUGAAAUCCCCGGGCUCAACCUGGGAACUGCAUUCGAAACUGGCAGGCUAGAGUCUUGUAGAGGGGGGUAGAAUUCCAGGUGUAGCGGUGAAAUGCGUAGAGAUCUGGAGGAAUACCGGUGGCGAAGGCGGCCCCCUGGACAAAGACUGACGCUCAGGUGCGAAAGCGUGGGGAGCAAACAGGAUUAGAUACCCGAGUAGUC